CUUCCUGCUUUUUUUGCAACCCAGCCGUUAGUCAGAUCCCCAGACGUGAAAUGGGACGCACUGCGCGCUGCGUGUUGCUGCUUGUGGGGAUUCUCUGAUGAACACGGCCGCGUGAAUCCGCACCGAGGACAUAACUACCCUGGGGGCCGUGCUCCAGUUAAACAGAGCACGUGCAGAAGGGUACUCAGGCUGCAAUAACGGCCUCCCAUCCUUGACCCGAUCCUCAGCACCUCCGGCUGAUCCCUGCGGAUCGGUGGAAUGACUCCUGCUUGUUUUUUGCGAAAGCAGAGGUUAGCUUCGUAACGGAUUUAUGAAAUAAAAAUGAAGUUGGCAAGAACUCACCAGACCCAAGGCCAGGCCGGAGAAAAGUGUUGCCAGGGCGAAGAUGGUGUACGACCCCCACACCGGGAUGCCGAUCUGCUCGGUGAGGUAGUUAUGGCAGUGC
Anguilla rostrata (American eel) is the source of this 445-nucleotide long non-coding RNA. RefSeq lists it as uncharacterized. The record is from RefSeq and is a predicted model, not a curated record. The transcript is spliced from 2 exons. NCBI's taxonomy places the organism in Eukaryota, Metazoa, Chordata, Actinopteri, Anguilliformes, Anguillidae.